Betta splendens (Siamese fighting fish) is the source of this 1600-nucleotide long non-coding RNA. Ensembl lists it as uncharacterized. Lineage: Eukaryota; Metazoa; Chordata; Actinopteri; Anabantiformes; Osphronemidae. The record is from Ensembl.
GCUAGCAUAUCCAAUGUAUAUAAUCAAAGAACUCCUAACAAGGAAUCAGGGCAAGAACCUGAAUCUGUAUGUCAUAUAUGACAUUGCAUGUGUACUUUCAUCACACAUGCAUGUGAGUAUGUUAUCACUAAAAAUGGGCACAAAUUACUUUUGUCUAAUUUAUUUUUGUUAUUAGUCUUUUGAUACUUUAACAUAAAGGGUUAUACAUAAAACAAUUAUGUUUGAGUUCAGUGUGCUGUAAGUGUCUUCAUAGGUUCUGUACAGUACGAGAAGAUUAAAAGGCUUUGGGCUAACAGAUGGAGAAGGUAUGGAGAGGUUAUGGUCCUUCCUUAGAAGAUUUGCUCGUGUCACAAAAGAGAUGAGUCCAUCCCACCGGCUUGACCUCUUGACUGAAGUACUUCUUUAUUAUGGGAGGAGAAAAUCAGCUGAUAUAGGUUUGGCCAGUUCUUGUAUUUAAAUAGAAAUGUUUGAUAUGCUUAAAAAAUUAAAAUUGUGAAGCUAUUGACAUUUGUUUGUAGAAGUGCAGCUCGAUCACAGAUGGGAAAAAGCAGAGAAGGUCACUAAUCUAGCUAAAGAGGAGUUAGCUGCUGUCUUAAAAGAGGCACCAGACAGUGUUCCCAAAUGGAAGAGGGUGUAUGUGACAACGCUGAUUGAGCUCCAGCAGCUCAAGUAAGACAGUAACUGUUGUACUUUGAAUAUUGCAUCAAUCUAAAUGAAUGAAAGAUUACUUCACUGUAUUUCAUGUUAAAAAAAUGUGACCCCAACAAUAAAUAUGUAAGUAUCUUUCUUUUAAGUGCGUUGCGCUAUGUGAUAGUGAUGCUGCCAGUUUAAACACAACUAUUUUACGAUAUUCCAGUGAACACUGUUAGAGCUCGACCAGGACAUUCGAGGUAAACUGGUCAUGCAGGCACGAACUGAGGCAAGGGAAAGACUUACACUUCUUCAAUUGAAGCGGAAAUACCCAGAUGGACAGGGAAUUGCUGUCAGAUUGUCUAAACAAAUUAAGGCCUGUAACAAGAGACUGAGGAAAACCAUAACAGAUUACAACAGUCUGCAAUGGCCACCACAGACAACCAUCUUCCCACCACAGAUGGAUUUUCAAGAAGCAUGUGAUCCCUUCUGGCCUGUCUACUGUAGCAUUGAUGAAAAUACAGAGGAAGGAGACUUUUCACGAUCCCUCAAAAGACGUGCCAUUGAUGCAUUGCACCUGAAGACCAGGGCUGCUGAGGAGAAGAUCAUGCUUCAGGAUGAAAUGAAGACUUUAAUACAUCAUGUUCAGCAACAACAUGCUUCUUUACACUCAGCUAUUACUAAUACCAAGCAACCUGGCCGAGCUGUUCUUGUUGGCACCAUUAUAAACUUGGAACAGAAACUACAUAAUGCUACCUUGAUGUUCCAGCAACACAUUCCAAGUAUUGCUCCUCUUUCACACGCUUACCUGCCACAGUUGAAUGUAGUCCGCCAGAACGUGAUAUCACCGGAUGUGUACAUGGCUUUAUUCAACGACGAUGAUGAUGAUGAUGAAGAUGGUAAUGAUGAUGAUGAGGAGGAUUGUGAUGAUAGCAUUUAAAGCUAAAAUAAAAUGCAGAUUCAUCCAACA